CGCCCCGACCUGGUUUUCGCGUAGUCCCUGCACGAGCUAUUCGUGGACCUCUUCCGCCAGCCCAGCGGGAGGUGCAGCUCUCCGAGCCGCCCACGGGCUCCGUUGGUGUUGGCGCAGCAUCACGGCAGGAGGUAGGGGUUCCCGGCGACGAGGUUUCCCCUCAGAUUUAGACUGUCACUUCGUAGUCUACAAUCACCGAGACUACCUCUUCUGUGGAGAACCUAAAGUACCAUAACGUUGGAUUCUCCCUUACGCAAGAAGACACUUUAGCUACUACUAAUGUAAGUUCUACUGAAGUUACAACACCCGAAUCGUCAGUUCAAGGUAUAAUACUAAUACAAGAACUAGAGUAAAAUCUAUAGCUCAGAAGAGUACCACUAUAAAAGUGUCUUCUUGUUUUACUCGAUCACCUUAGUCGACGACUCUACAACAUACCCGAUAAAGUACGCGCUAUGUAAGAAUGGCCAUUUCCCAACCGACGAUACGACCUCUUUAUGUUCUUGAUACUGAAACCUGCUACAGGUGCCCAAAUAACGACACCGGUUGGUACAGAUGGUCAACCUGUUAGCCUAUAAGUGACUAGAUCAUGUCACUUCUAUAUGACAGGGUUCACGCUUCUGUAGAUGAUAGGUGCCAGAUUUAUGGUUCCGUCAUAGGAUUAGUGAGAGAAUAAUAUGACAGAGUUUAACGACAAAGACUACUGUAUGCUAGUAGAGUUCGGGGUCUUCGGGAGCGUCGCGAUACAAGGAGUGCAUAAACCGAAGUUCGAGGUGUUCGGUAAUACGCCUCCACUUCCUUUUCUAUUCUCCGGGGCCUUCUGAUGACAUUCUCACGUUAGCGGCCUAGUACGACGGGUGGGUAUAACACACGGGACAGACCAGAUAAGUUGUAACUUUACAACCAUAUUUUCUUCUGUACUCUGCUACAACAUU
This 932-nucleotide ribosomal RNA is filed under the name Triticum aestivum (bread wheat). RNAcentral's name for it is "partial small subunit ribosomal RNA". Lineage: Eukaryota; Viridiplantae; Streptophyta; Magnoliopsida; Poales; Poaceae. The record is from RNAcentral.